AUACAGAGGGUGCGAGCGUUAAUCGGAAUUACUGGGCGUAAAGCGCGCGUAGGCGGCUUAUUAAGUCAGAUGUGAAAUCCCCGCGCUCAACCUGGGAACUGCAUCUGAUACUGGUAAGCUAGAGUUUUGGAGAGGGAAGUAGAAUUUCAGGUGUAGCGGUGUAAUGCAUAGAGAUCUGAAGGAAUACCAGUGGCGAAGGCGACUUCCUGGCCAAAAACUGACGCUGAGGUGCGAAAGCGUGGGUAGCAAACGGGAUUAGAAACCCGAGUAGUCC
Molecule: ribosomal RNA, 274 nt
Filed under: uncultured bacterium
Lineage: Bacteria
Description: partial 16S ribosomal RNA
Rfam family: Bacterial small subunit ribosomal RNA
Source: RNAcentral